UCCAGCUGUGAAAGGGCUGAGCACAGGGAGCAUGCUGUGACAGGACCUGGGGUUUUGGCCGGGUCAGAGGCCUCUCUCACAAAGCUGUUGGAUGCUGAGGCCAGAACAUCAGAACCAGCUGGCUGGCUAACAGUGCUGAGCAUUGAAGUCGGGGCCUCCCACACGGUAGGGAAGCACUUUACCAGCUGAGCUACAUACCCAGCCCCAAAUUUUUCAAAGCCACCUUUGGGUAACCACAUGAAGACAGUCCUGGGAAGAAAUCUGGAAGAGGAAAGAGCAUCAGCGACCACAUCAAACAGGAUGCUCGCGCACCGGCCUGCACGACCACAUCAAACAGGAUGCUCGCGCACCAGCCUAAUUCUUCAAAGUGAUUGCAAACGGAGAAGAAAGCAAGGCAAAGAGAAGAAGCUCCCAGCGUUACCUAUGGAAUCCUGACGGGAAUCCUGACGGCUGUGGCUGUGCUGCCUCCCCCAACUCCACUCCCUGCAUUCUUUUUGCGCUCUAAAUUACCAAUUCUA
Long non-coding RNA from Nannospalax galili (Upper Galilee mountains blind mole rat), 518 nucleotides. RefSeq lists it as uncharacterized. Lineage: Eukaryota; Metazoa; Chordata; Mammalia; Rodentia; Spalacidae. The transcript is spliced from 3 exons. The record is from RefSeq and is a predicted model, not a curated record.